CGAACACCCUGAUAAUCGAUCUUUUUUCAUAGGUUUAAAUGGGAUAACAAUCGAUAUAUCGCAAUUCACGCCACGCCACUGAAUUUCGUCUGUCUCAAAUGCAAAUCCGAUCAGAAGGUUAUCGAGAGGAAAAUUCGUCUUCGCGCAGAGUGAAAUCAUAAGCGUGGGCUCUGACACGAGCGAUUGUGAAUUGAUUCAAUAGACGUAAGCCAGAAUUUAAAAUCCACAAAAAUCGCGUCCCGUAAAGACUGGGUAAACAUGGAAAACAGGCAAGGCCUACAUACUCACAUUUGGGCGAGAAUCACUGGAGGUGGCCCCAAUCAAUCGCGCCAUGUACCGUGCGUUGAGCCUCAUUUUAAUUGUCGGUGCUGUGAGACUCGUUGUCUCACCUGACUCACAGUCGAAGUCAAAGCAAGCCGUUGUCUCACCUGACUCACGGUCAGAAUCAAAGCCAGAAGAAAGCGUGAAGCCAGAAGAAGGCACACAGCCAAAAGAACACGUAGAGGAACAGGAACCGAUAGAGCUACUGCCGGAAUGGUCUGGAACGAAACAGCACACUAAGUGCAAAAACCAAUUCGGCUUCAUUAUGAAGCCUGCAAGGGGAGUAGUCUACAUCGCACACCCUUACUGGUCCAAGGAAAAGGGGGAAUGGCGUUGCAUGUUGAACCGCAAUGAAUUGAGACCGCUCUUCAGGCAGCUUGGACUUAACUUUGAUGCAUUUGAGAGCGAGCAUCUACAGACGUACGACGGUAGGUACGGGAGAAAGUGGUUGAAGAAGCAUGGCGUCGUAGUAGGCCGUCCAAAUUUUGACAUCGCAAAAAUGGAGAAGGAAAUAAAAAAGGAGUUGGGGGGCUCCACGAGUGAGUCCGGUGGGUGGCUCAGCGGCAGACGCCACGGAUCUUCGAGCUCCAUGGCCGCGACCUCCGCGGGCAACUCGAUGAGAGUCGGCUCCUCGAGUUCCUGGUUCAAAAGCAAGAGAACCGGUGAGCGACCGGGAACCUCGGAGGCGCCGAGCAGGCAAUCCUCCAUCGGCUCCGAUACUAGUGAAGGAAGCAAGACGUCCAACCCGUCUAAAAAGUGGUGGUCAUUCAAGAAACAGAAGGCGGAUUCGCCCGUGAAAGGAGAUGUAUCCAAGGGAGGCGACGGUAGCUUGGGCGCCUCGAAGGGUUCGUCUGAGGGAUCGUCCAACCGGUCUGGGAACCCGACCCCCGAGGCGCUGAGCAGACAGAACUCAGCGGGCUCGGAUUCCUCCUUCGAGUGGGCUCAAGAAGGAGGUGCGCCGAGGAGGCAAAACUCAAUGAGCUCGGAUUCGUCCUUUGAGUGGGCGCAAGGGGGUGGUGCGCCGAGCAGGGAUGGCAGCUUCAGGGAAACUGGAUCUGGUAGAGGAGGCAACUUGACGGAAGGAUCGAGUGGUAGAGGCAACUUGGACAGAGCUGAAUCUAGCAUGGCAGCCAGUGAGAGGAAACCUGAAGCUACGGAAGGGCAAACCUUCCAGAAGGAGCAGAAAGAGUGCACGAAUCACUGCAACACGGUUCAGGGCUACAUCGUCAUAAAGCCCGGCUUCUCCCGCAUCGCCAUCACCAAAGGCGCCCUGUCCGACUACGGGAAGACAUGCAAGUGCGGGUUGAAUCUCGCCGAUACCAAAGCAUUUUUAGAGGGACGUGGUUUUGAAGCCUCCGAGUUCUUCGACGCUUUUGCAGAGGAUCCUGAGGGCGUGGCGGGCAGGCGCUGGUUGACUAGCAAAGGGAUCACGGUCGAUUUCCGCAAGACCUUGGACGAAAGGUUCAAGGAGCAGGAUGCUCUGAGCGCUGCGGGGUGAUUAUUGAAACUGAUAGACAAAGCUAUUGACAAAAGAGAUAUAGAGAGUAUGGAGCUAUCCUAUUGGUUGAAAUGGGUGGCUCCUAAAGGCUAAGGGAGAAAAUGAUGGACUAACUAUUAGUCCAGGCGCCUGGUAAGUCUACCUGGAAUUUUGGGUACACAGCGAUUUUUUUGGCUUACUUUAUGUUUUUUGGGUCGCUGAAUCCGAAUCUGAAGUUUUCUACCGCGUAUCUGGUGAGCAUUUUCCGCCAUUUUGAAAAAAUGGCCUAAAAAGGCCUUUUUUUGCGGUUUUUUUUAUGUAGCGGCUACGCAUGAGAAAAAAUCCCGUAUUUAGCUAAUGUUUUGAAUAGCUGACAAAAUUUGGAAGAAAAUGGUAUAUAAAUAUGUUAGGUUUGCUCAAAAAUUGAGGAACCUCGGAUUUCGGAACUUUGGAACGCUUCGGAGCUUAGCUGACCGCGGCGAGCCGGAUCACGCGUUAAGGGGUGCGCCGCGAAAACGUGAAUGGGCGCGAUGUUCACGAUGCUGUAUCUUCCUCAAUUUUUAAGCAAACCUAGCAUAUGUAUACACCAUUUUCUUCCAAAUUUUGUCAGCUAUUCAAAACAUUAGCUAAAUCCGGGAGUUUUUCUCAUGCGUAGCCGCUACAUAAAAAAACCGCAAAAAAAGGCCUUUUUAGGCCAUUUUUUCAAAAUGGCGGAAAAUGCUCACCAGAUACGCGGUAGGAAACUUCAGAUUCGGAUUCAGCGACCCAAAAAACAUAAAGUAAGCCAAAAAAAUCGCUGUGUACCCAAAAUUCCAGGUAGACUUACCAGGCGCCUGGACUAAUCGGGUCUUUCAUGGGUUGCCGUUAGUUUAAUCUAUUGCCUACCUCCUUUGUCCAUUGCAACCACUUGCUUCCACCAAUAGGAUCCCUCCAUAUCUCUUUUGUCUUGUUUGUCUAUCACUUUGUCUAUAAAUUUCAAUAAUCGGUCCCCUGGUGAAAUAACGCCCGCGGAGUGCACAACGGUGCGGUUGCAACUUGGGUUGCACCGGACAGCAUAUAUACUUAAAGGCAAAUUGAGGGGCUUGGAAGACAAGGCGCAUAAGUACAGUUUUAGAAAUUCGAGACUAGAAAUUAGGGCACAGCCGCAUCAGGUGCGUGCCAUAGCUCGUUAUGCCUCUAGGCAACCCGCAACUCGAUAAUGUUUAAAAUGAACGUUAUCAAUAAAUGUUAUAAAUGUUAAAUGUUUUAGUUGUAUGUAUAUAAAUA
RNAcentral lists this long non-coding RNA (3064 nucleotides) under Bemisia tabaci. Its description in RNAcentral is "lncRNA ENSASIAIIG001785". The record is from RNAcentral. Lineage: Eukaryota; Metazoa; Arthropoda; Insecta; Hemiptera; Aleyrodidae.